GUCUACGGCCAUACCACCCUGAACGCGCCCGAUCUCCGAAGCUAAGCAAGGUCGGACCUGGUUAGUAUUUGGACGGCAGACCGCCUGGGAAUACUGGGUACUGUAGGUU
This is a ribosomal RNA of Cercocebus atys (sooty mangabey), 109 nucleotides long. NCBI's taxonomy places the organism in Eukaryota, Metazoa, Chordata, Mammalia, Primates, Cercopithecidae. The record is from Ensembl.